GGAGGGGUGCCGGAGUGGACUAACGGAACGGCCUGGAGAGCCGUCCCGCCUCGGGCGGGUCGUGGGUUCGAAUCCCACCCCCUCCGCCA
This 89-nucleotide transfer RNA is filed under the name Candidatus Parcubacteria bacterium. RNAcentral's name for it is "tRNA-Ser". It matches the Rfam family "tRNA". Rfam says of the family: Transfer RNA (tRNA) molecules are approximately 80 nucleotides in length. RNAcentral also lists the same sequence under 1 other name. Lineage: Bacteria; Candidatus Parcubacteria. The record is from RNAcentral.